Molecule: ribosomal RNA, 253 nt
Filed under: uncultured bacterium
Lineage: Bacteria
Description: partial 16S ribosomal RNA
Rfam family: Bacterial small subunit ribosomal RNA
Source: RNAcentral
UACGUAGGGGGCAAGCGUUGUCCGGAUUUAUUGGGCGUAAAGAGCGUGUAGGCGGCUUGACAGGUCUGCUGUGAAAACUCGAGGCUCAACCUCGAGAUGUCGGCGGAAACCGUCUGGCUAGAGUCCGGAAGAGGAGAGUGGAAUUCCUGGUGUAGCGGUGAAAUGCGCAGAUAUCAGGAAGAACACCUAUGGCGAAGGCAGCUCUCUGGGACGGUACUGACGCUGAGACGCGAAAGCCAGGGGAGCAAACGGG